GCAGUGGUGGUUCAGCGGUGGAAUCUUGCCUUCUACGCAGGAGACCCAGUUUCGAUUCCUGUCCAAUUCA
This 70-nucleotide transfer RNA is filed under the name Loxodonta africana (African savanna elephant). It matches the Rfam family "tRNA". Rfam says of the family: Transfer RNA (tRNA) molecules are approximately 80 nucleotides in length. Their secondary structure includes four short double-helical elements and three loops (D, anti-codon, and T loops). The record is from Rfam by way of RNAcentral. Lineage: Eukaryota; Metazoa; Chordata; Mammalia; Proboscidea; Elephantidae.